UACACGGCAAUUGCGUGACGCCGCCUUGCCGGCCGGGCGUUUCUUCCGCGUUGCCGCCUUUCUUCUUCGGGGAGCACCCGCUAAUUAAAGCGCUCGGCUCGGCUUUGCCCGAGGCGGCUUUGCCCGGCGGCUGCUCCUCCUCCUCCCUGCCUUCCUGCGUCCCUCGCUGCCUCUUCCCCCGACGCGCGAAGAAGGGGACUCGGGCGCAGCUCCAGGUGGCUUCCGGGACGCCGCGGCGAAGUGGGAGCGGAGAGCGAGAGAGACGUCGAGUGCUGAGGAAAGCAGUGACCAACCUGGUGAUAACAGAAUAAUGCAAAGAGGGAGCUGCAGCCAAAGUCAGGAAAAGAGGUGAACAAGAAGAGAGCUGAAAAGAGCAGAACAAUGAUAGGCUUCAUGAAGGCGUGGUCUUUGACUGCUUGGGAAAAGUCCUGGAGAGGAGGAGACACAAGCUGUGGGAAGGCAGGGACUUUCAGCAUCGGCAACUGAUUUCAUGGAGUAAGACCCACAGGGAAUGAGCUGUUGUGUUCAUUAGGUGUGAUGCUCAGCCAAGUCUGCCAAGAUCAUGGUUUUGCUAAUAAACAGUU
Molecule: long non-coding RNA, 584 nt
Organism: Podarcis raffonei (Aeolian wall lizard)
Lineage: Eukaryota; Metazoa; Chordata; Lepidosauria; Squamata; Lacertidae
Exons: 3
Source: RefSeq, a predicted model, not a curated record